RNAcentral lists this signal recognition particle RNA (285 nucleotides) under Saimiri boliviensis boliviensis (Bolivian squirrel monkey). Its description in RNAcentral is "Metazoan signal recognition particle RNA (ENSSBOG00000000852.1)". It matches the Rfam family "Metazoan signal recognition particle RNA". Rfam says of the family: The signal recognition particle (SRP) is a universally conserved ribonucleoprotein. It is involved in the co-translational targeting of proteins to membranes. The record is from Rfam by way of RNAcentral. Lineage: Eukaryota; Metazoa; Chordata; Mammalia; Primates; Cebidae.
GCUGGGCACAUACCUAUAGUCUCAACUACUCUGGAGGCUGAGACUGGAGGAUCACUUGAGCCCAGGAGUUCUGACCUUUAGUGUGCUAUGCCAAUCAGGUGUCCACAGUAAGUUCGGCAUCAAUAUGGUGACCUCCAGGGAGCAGGGACCACCAGGUUGCCUAAGGAGGGGUGAACCAGCCCAGGUAGGAAACAGAACAGGUCAAAACUCUUGUGCUGAUCGGUAGUGGGAUAAUGCCUGUGAAUAGCCACUGCACCCUGGCCUGGGCAACACACACAAACACAC